This 548-nucleotide ribosomal RNA is filed under the name uncultured Glomeromycotina. RNAcentral's name for it is "SSU rRNA". It matches the Rfam family "Eukaryotic small subunit ribosomal RNA", at positions 548 to 1098 of the family's 1831-position model. The record is from RNAcentral. Lineage: Eukaryota; Fungi; Glomeromycota.
UUGGAGGGCAAGUCUGGUGCCAGCAGCCGCGGUAACUCCAGCUCCAAUAGCGUAUAUUAAAGUUGCUGCAGAUAAAAAGCUCGUAGUUGAAUUUCGGGACCAUCAUGUCGGUCGUGCCUCGGUACGUACUGGUAUUGUUGGUUUCUCCCUUCUGACGAACCAUGAUGUCAUUUAUUUGGUGUUGUGGGGAAUCAGGACUGUUACUUUGAAAAAAUUAGAGUGUUUAAAGCAGGCUCACGCUUGAAUACAUUAGCAUGGAAUAAUGAAAUAGGACGUUUGAUUCUAUUUUGUUGGUUUCUAGGAUCGACGUAAUGAUUAAUAGGGAUAGUUGGGGGCAUUAGUAUUCAAUUGUCAGAGGUGAAAUUCUUGGAUUUAUUGAAGACUAACUACUGCGAAAGCAUUUGCCAAGGAUGUUUUCAUUAAUCAAGAACGAAGGUUAGGGGAUCGAAGACGAUCAGAUACCGUCGUAGUCUUAACCAUAAACUAUGCCGACUAGGGAUCGGAUGAUGUUAAUUUUUUAAUGACUCAUUCGGCGCCUUACGGGAAAC